CAGGUCGCCACAUGGACUGAUGUUGCUCUGGUUCCUGACGCAGCCCCUCUCUGAGGGCAUUGAACCCGUGACCUCGGCGACAGGGGCGCGAAGGGGGCAACACCAAAUACAAACUGCAAGUGUCUUGAUUUGGAGAUGCAGUGUAGUCCAUCACAGGAGAGGCAGGGGAGUCCAAAACAGGAGAGGCUGGAGAGUCCGUUGUGGGAGAAGCAGGGGAUUCUGCAAUAGUCAGUGCUGAAGAAUCAAUGAUAAGGCGAGAGGUUGGAUCCAUCAGGGAAGAUGCUGGUAAAUCCAUGUCAGAUAUCCUGGAUUUUUUCUUUGCUGGUUCAUCCUCGUCGUUAGCUAGCAUCUGGCCUUUGAGAAUUAAAAAAAAAAUAGUAUUAUUUUUAAGCCAAACUCCCACUGGUUGGAUGGUCAGUAAUAAUAUUUAACAAACAGUAUAUUUUAACUUACCUGUACAUAUCUUGCAUUUCACGUCAAAGAGGUGAGCUUUAUGCUCUGAUGUUGUGUCCUUCAGCAUACAGGUGAGAAUAUCUGGUGCAGCUCUUCCCUGGUUUGGCUGAUUUGUUCUGGUCUUGGGAGCAGGAAGACUUUUCUUCUGUUCUUGAGAUGUAACCUGCAUUAGUACCAAUGCACAAUAAGACUGCAACUCAAUAAGACCCACACUCUAUAAACCUGCACAAGAAAAGCCUGUGCGGAGCAGGAAAAACAAUGCAGUGCCUAUGUAAAAUUUGGCAGUCACAAAUAUUUCAUGCAGAUGUAGUAGGUACGCACAGUGCUAUAGGAUCUGCUAUCAGGUCUUUUGUCUGGUCUUCUGUCCGGUCUAGCAGAACACGGCAAAUUGGGCAAAUCAACCUUCACGGCUUCUGGCUUCAGUAGUGUAGUCGACACCUUAGCAGAAGCAUCCUUAGCCUAAAUAACACAAGCCAAGUUCUGGUGCUUUGGUGGCCUGCAUGUCCUUCUGGCUCAUCCUGACCAGUCUAAAGGGACUGAUCUCUCCAGAAACAACCCGAUACAAUAAACCCUAAAAAGAACAAAUACCCUGACUUGACAUUUCGCUAACAAUCACAA
Molecule: long non-coding RNA, 1071 nt
Organism: Betta splendens (Siamese fighting fish)
Lineage: Eukaryota; Metazoa; Chordata; Actinopteri; Anabantiformes; Osphronemidae
Exons: 4
Source: RefSeq, a predicted model, not a curated record